CCCCAGGUUUAUUUACUAAACUGUUUUACAUUCAAUGAAAUACUUACAACAAUACUUACAGAGCAUUAUCACAAGAGCAAACACAUUGAGAACACUAAUAAAGACCGAGAAUGCAGGUUACAGUUAUUUUCCUGUCAAACUCAAAUGCCACUUCUGUAAACAAUAACAAAACCAGAACAUCGCUGCUAGAAAAGAUGUACACGUAAAAACACUCUACGUACACAAAACUACAUACAUCAUUUUAUACUCUCAACCAAAGCACUCUGGUCAAGCCCAAGUACAAUUUGGUAUUCUCUGUACAAUUAUUAAAUCCUGCUAAAAAUAAUAGUUCUCCUUGGGUUUAAAAUACAGCACAGCGCAUAAGGCAAAAAAAUAGGAAUUAUCAUCCAGUUCUUUGCGUUUCAGUUCAAUAUCAAGAAUUUAAGGCAAGAUUGGACAUUUUGCAUUGUUUCAUAUAGUGAAUGGGGACUUACAGAUGGCAAAUUGACAAAAGCAACACGCUAUCUCCCAGAAAAAAGAAAAGUUAACUGUCAUGCGUACUGGACACAUUUGGCCCUCUAGAAAUUCCAACUAGACUUUCUGAAAGAGAAGCAUUGCUAGUAGGAGAGACUGUCAAGAAGCUUACAGAUGAGUAUCCCUAAAAAGGAAAAAAGCAGAAAUUCAGGAACUGUACGUACACAUACAAACUCAUACCCACUUUUAAGUGCUUUACAGAUAAUUUUGAGUGACUAAGAAAUAGAACUGGAUGAUAAUUUGCAGUUAUAUGACAUCUUACUUGAAGGUCCUUAAUUCUUAAACUGCAAGACAGACAUUACAAUGAGAGUAUUAUUCUUUAAAUGCAGAUUUAAACUGACUGUUGUGUCUGAUCUUCCCACAACCAAGCACUUCAGUGAACAGGACAACAAGCACCCAGAACAGAAAACGAAGAUGGCAUGAUUUUAAGUGACACAAUCCCAUAGCUGAUACACUAGCUAAACAGGUCACCUAAUAUUCAGUGUAUUUCAUUAGGCAUUUUUCCCAUUCUUCAUACCAAGCUUGUCUACUAAAAAAAUGCUUUAUGCUGCUACCUUAAAUUUAGCAAUGCCACAUUACACAAUCUGGGGUCCAUCUCUAUGCUCCGAUUUAACAUUGCCACUGCCUAGGUAAAGUGAAUAAAACAUUUUACAGUUUUAAGUGCUUUGACUUCUAUCAAUGAAAGAUGUUGAUAUAAAAAGUGAAUAACCACCACCCUGACCUACGGAUUUUUUUUUGAAGUCAGAACCAUUUCUAUACCUUGCACCACUUUCUACUAACUGAAAACAGUGUUUACUAGUAUUUCUAAUCAGAACAGGUUUGUGAGCAUCUUCAUUCAUGGAAUUCUAGUAUUGUCAAACUCUUAAAGAGUUCAGUAUAUAACGAACUGCCUGGAAAGCCUCCUAUUUGUAAAAGGCAUAAACUUCUCUCUUACGUAAUGAAUUUUGCUUGUUUAAAUAUUAGUUUAAGCAUCCUUACCUCCGGUGUAUAUUGGAAAAGAUGAUAACCAAUGGCAUCUCUGAGAAACAGACCGAGAAGUGAAACAGCACACAAAAACAUCCAGCUUGUGCAUUCGCCUGAACAGAAUGAGAAGGCAAUCUCUGAAUGGGCUCAAAUAUCUACAUUAACCCCCAAUCCCAAACCUGCCUCCCCUUCUUUCUCCUUCCCACACACAAACAUGCCAUGUACAACCACGUAGCUACUUGUGUUCUAUCAACAGAUUCACCGGAAUAAUUAUGCUAUUAUUGCUAUGAAACUAGAAUCCUUAGUGGGUCAAACAAACUGCAUUGAAAAUGCUGGAAUUGUUACCUUUAUUUAUUGUUACCUUUAUUACCUUCUAAAGUCCUGCUUGAUUCUACCAAAUUUGAAGAAUACAUGCAGGAUUUUAACACCUGUGGAAACACCUGUUAUCUAUGAAUAAUGUCUUAUGGUGAAAACACCCUCGCCUCCUUGACCGUUUAAAAUCUGAACAUUAGUGUAUGGAAGAACAAGGAACACCACUGUUUGCCUGGCUGCAAUUUGCUUUGCAGGAACUCAAAAUAAAUCAAGUACACUCAAACUCCUCCACUUCGCAUACUUAAAAAGAAAUGGCUUUUAAAGCAACUAUUUCAAACAUUAUUGCACCUUCAAAAAUAAUACUAUAUGGGCUUGAAAAACAAGGGGAAACAAACAUUAAUGUAAAACAUUAAAACAAGGAGAAAAUAACUCUGGAGGCAGAAAAAUUCUUCAGUACCAGGCCUGGCAACACACAGACAUCAAAAUAGAAAUUCAAGAUAACCAUGAUUCCUAGUUAAAAUCAGAAGACAAACCAGAACAUUUUAAAUUAGCUAAUAUUUAUUCACUCAUCUACUUUAAUUAAUGGUUAUGACCCGCAGCAUUGCUUUCUAGUUAUCUGCCCAAGUUUUCACUAGGUUUAGAGCUACCAGAAAGUUCUAUCUCUUGAGAUUCUGGUUAGUCACUGGAACAGAACUUCAGUGCUCCGUUACACAGGGGAGACGGUUGGGAUGAGCAACUCUAUUCACUCACUGCAACUUGUGUUAGAGGCAAGGCUGUCUGAAGAACCCGAGACAGGAUCUCACUAUUCACUCCCUAUUUAUGUACUUGUGAGUAUAGAAACAAUAAAC
This is a long non-coding RNA of Strigops habroptila (Kakapo), 2636 nucleotides long. Lineage: Eukaryota; Metazoa; Chordata; Aves; Psittaciformes; Psittacidae. The record is from Ensembl.